RNAcentral lists this ribosomal RNA (302 nucleotides) under uncultured fungus. Its description in RNAcentral is "eukaryotic LSU rRNA". The stretch from base 1 to 52 matches the Rfam family "5.8S ribosomal RNA", at positions 103 to 154 of the family's 154-position model. The record is from RNAcentral. Lineage: Eukaryota; Fungi.
AACGCACCUUGCGCUCUUUGGUAUUCCGAAGAGCAUGCCUGUUUGAGUGUUGUGCUAUUGAUAAGCCUCGGCUUGAUUUUGGACUUACUUUGCCGGCUUUGGCUGGCUGGUCCUGAAUGCAUUAGCUUGAACCUUGCUUGCGAUUGGUUUGACUCGGCGUGAUAAGUCUUUCGUCGAGGAACGGUCCUUUGUAAAAAGGGGAUUGGCCAAGCGCUUGUGGGGUUUGCUCUCUAAUCGUCUUAGGACACACACUUUACUGUGGCUUCAGCCUCAAAUCAGGUAGGACUACCCGCUGAACUUAA